GUGCUUGCUUUGACAGCACAUAAACUAAAAGUGGAACAACACAGAGAAGAUUAACAUGGCCCCUGUGCAAGGAUGACAUACAAAUUUGUGAAGCAUUCUAUAUUUUU
Suncus etruscus (white-toothed pygmy shrew) is the source of this 107-nucleotide small nuclear RNA. NCBI's taxonomy places the organism in Eukaryota, Metazoa, Chordata, Mammalia, Eulipotyphla, Soricidae. The record is from RefSeq and is a predicted model, not a curated record.